RNAcentral lists this transfer RNA (74 nucleotides) under Pseudomonadota bacterium. RNAcentral describes it as "tRNA-Pro". It matches the Rfam family "tRNA". Rfam says of the family: Transfer RNA (tRNA) molecules are approximately 80 nucleotides in length. The record is from RNAcentral. Lineage: Bacteria; Pseudomonadati; Pseudomonadota. RNAcentral also lists the same sequence under 2 other names.
CGGGGCGUAGCGCAGCCUGGUAGCGCGCUUGCUUUGGGAGCAAGAUGCCGGAGGUUCAAAUCCUCUCGCCCCGA